Ziziphus jujuba (common jujube) is the source of this 1845-nucleotide RNA transcript. It is a transcript of the gene named G-box-binding factor 4, with no coding region annotated. The transcript has 5 exons. NCBI's taxonomy places the organism in Eukaryota, Viridiplantae, Streptophyta, Magnoliopsida, Rosales, Rhamnaceae. The record is from RefSeq and is a predicted model, not a curated record.
UUUUCGUAAUAUGUAUUUUUUCGGUGGCUGCGAAAUUCAAUCAUUUUUUAAAGAAAAAAAAAAAAACGAGUUUCUCUCUGAUCCCAAUUCCCAACAGAAAAAACAAACUCCUUCCCCAAAUUCCCCAAACCCUAGAGAGAGAAAACAGUGGAAAAGAAUCUAGUUUCUAGGGAGAGAAAGCAGCUGUAGACACAGUCAGAGAGAGAGAGAGAGAGAGAGAGAGAGAGUGUAUGUAUAUGCAUAUGUAUAUGUGUGUGUGAAAGAGAGAGAGAGAGAAUCUCUGAGGAGCCCUAAGAAAUUGGCGAUGGCGUCGUCGAAGGUGAUGGCGUCGUCCAAUUCGCGAAAUUCGGAUCUAGCGAGACGUUCUUCUUCUUCUUUGUCUUCAUCGGUUGCUACAAAACCUAAAGCAGAUCAAAACCAGAAGAACAACAAUUCCAAUCGAACCACCACCAAAGCUUCUUCGCUCGGCUCCAUGACCGUCGAUGGCCUACUUCGCAAUGUCUACGACGCAAAUCCCACCACCGAAUCCACCCUCCUCGACGCCCAAAUCACGCUCAUCGACACCCCUCCCAUUGCCACUGCCGCUGCCGGCGCCGGCGAUAUGAAUUCCGGUGGUUCUGUUAGCUCCUCCAAUGGUCCUAAAACGGUCGACGACGUGUGGAGGGAGAUUGUGUCAGGCGACAGGAAGGGGUGUAAAGAAGAGGCUCCGGACGAGAUGAUGACUCUGGAGGAUUUCUUGGCGAGGGCUGGAGCCGUGGAGGAGGACGAUGUGAAAUCGCUGCCACCUCCGGCUACGGAGCGAUUGAGUGGUGGGCUCUUCUCGUUUGAUUCAAUCCCACCGAGCCCAUUACAGGCCCUGGAUAAGGUCGAUGGUUCGAUUAUUGGGUUUGGAAAUGGGGUUGAGGUGAUUGGAGGAGGAGGAACAGGAACAGGAACCGCAGGAGGUGUGAGGGGGAAGAGAGGGCGAGCCGUUUUGGAGCCAUUGGAUAAGGCUGCGCAGCAGAGACAGAGGCGAAUGAUUAAGAACAGAGAAUCUGCGGCCAGGUCAAGGGAAAGGAAGCAGGCGUAUCAAGUUGAGUUGGAGUCGUUGGCAGUGAGACUUGAGGAGGAAAACGAGCGGCUGAUGAAAGAGAAGUCAUGCUUUUAGCCAUGUGGACACGGAGACAAAUGUCAUGUUUUGACAUAGGCUCGAGGUGUUGCAGACAGCUACUAGUAAAGUUCUAGACAUGGUGACACAGAUUUAUGCUGAGAGAACUAAGGAAAGAUUUAAGCAGUUAAUGGAGAAAAUUAUUCCAGUAGAGGAGAAGCGAAGGGCACCACGUGUUCUUCGGAGGGUUCAUUCCUUCGAGUGGUAGUAGUAUAUACUUGGUUACAACAUGGAAAUGGUAUUUCAGAUGCAGGAAGAAAAAAGAAACAAACAGCAUUCUUGUUGGAACCAGAUCUUCUAGAAUGAAAUUUCUAUAUAAUUAUUGCUGAGAGAUGGGGUUUUUGAUAUAAAGAAGAGAAAGGGAACGCAACCUUAAAUAUGAAGGAAAAUUCCUUGUUUACUGAACAAAAGGAGACUUCCAUCAACAAGAUAAAAGAGGUAAAUCUUAUGUUAGAUGCUUGUAGUUAAAUUAAUAGGUUCUGCAAUGAAACCUCCAUUCCCCAAUUGUUGAUGAGAGGGGAAGAUGAGGAUCAAAGAUUAGUAUUUUUAUGGUUUGAUAGUUAUUACAGAUUUUUUUAUUUUAUUUUUUUUAAGUAAAACAUGAGAUCCAAGGCUAGUCUUAUGUUCAUAUUCAAAGCGAUAUUGUUAAUAUUAAUGUGAUUAUCCGGUUAGAAAAUGUGCAUUUUCUUUUUCUUUUC